UGAUGUGGGCCCUUUCAGCAUCUCCCU
This 27-nucleotide non-coding RNA is filed under the name Homo sapiens (human). The record is from RNAcentral. Lineage: Eukaryota; Metazoa; Chordata; Mammalia; Primates; Hominidae.